This 482-nucleotide ribosomal RNA is filed under the name uncultured bacterium. Its description in RNAcentral is "partial 16S ribosomal RNA". It matches the Rfam family "Bacterial small subunit ribosomal RNA", at positions 30 to 507 of the family's 1533-position model. The record is from RNAcentral.
AUUGAACGCUGGCGGCAUGCUUUACACAUGCAAGUCGAACGGUAACAGGCCGCAAGGUGCUGACGAGUGGCGAACGGGUGAGUAAUGCAUCGGAACGUGCCCAGUCGUGGGGGAUAACUACUCGAAAGAGUAGCUAAUACCGCAUACGAUCUAUGGAUGAAAGCGGGGGACCGUAAGGCCUCGCGCGAUUGGAGCGGCAGAUGUCAGAUUAGGUAGUUGGUGGGGUAAAGGCUCACCAAGCCAACGAUCUGUAGCUGGUCUGAGAGGACGACCAGCCACACUGGGACUGAGACACGGCCCAGACUCCUACGGGAGGCAGCAGUGGGGAAUUUUGGACAAUGGGCGCAAGCCUGAUCCAGCAAUGCCGCGUGCAGGAAGAAGGCCUUCGGGUUGUAAACUGCUUUUGUACGGAACGAAACGGCUCUGGUUAAUACCCGGGGCUAAUGACGGUACCGUAAGAAUAAGCACCGGCUAACUACGUG